AGCCAAUAGAUACCCGGGUAGUCCACGCCCUAAACGAUGUCUACUAGUUGUUGGUGGAGUAAAAUCCAUGAGUAAACGCAGCUAAACGCGUGAAGUAGACCGCCUGGGGAGUACGGUCGCAAGAUUAAAACUCAAAGGAAUUGACGGGGGCCCGGCACAAGCGGUGGAUUAUGUGGAUUAAAUUCGAUGCAACGCGAAAAACCUUAACCUGGCCUUGACAUGCCACUAACGAAGCAGAGAUGCAUUAGGUGCCCGUAAGGGAAAGUGGACACAGGUGCUGCAUGGCUGUCGUCAGCUCGUGUCGUGAGAUGUUGGGUUAAGUCCCGCAACGAGCGCGACCCUUGCCAUUAAUUGUCAUCAUUUAGUUGGGCACUUUAAUGGGACUGCCGGUGACAAACCGGACGGAAGGUGGGGAUGACGUCAAGUCCUCAUAGCCCUUAUGGCCAGGGCUUCACACGUAAUACAAUGGUCGGUACAGAGAGUUGCCAACCCGCGAGGGGAGCUAAUCUCAGAAAGCCGAUCGUAGUCCGGAUUGUUCU
This 539-nucleotide ribosomal RNA is filed under the name uncultured bacterium. Its description in RNAcentral is "bacterial SSU rRNA". It matches the Rfam family "Bacterial small subunit ribosomal RNA", at positions 771 to 1304 of the family's 1533-position model. The record is from RNAcentral.